This 301-nucleotide ribosomal RNA is filed under the name uncultured bacterium. RNAcentral describes it as "partial 16S ribosomal RNA". It matches the Rfam family "Bacterial small subunit ribosomal RNA", at positions 509 to 807 of the family's 1533-position model. The record is from RNAcentral.
CAGUCGCCGCGGUAAUACGGAGGGCGCGAGCGUUACCCGGAUUUACUGGGCGUAAAGGGCGUGUAGGCGGCCUGGGGCGUCCCAUGUGAAAGGCCACGGCUCAACCGUGGAGGAGCGUGGGAUACGCUCAGGCUAGAGGGUGGGAGAGGGUGGUGGAAUUCCCGGAGUAGCGGUGAAAUGCGCAGAUACCGGGAGGAACGUCGAUGGCGAAGGCAGCCACCUGGUCCACUUCUGACGCUGAGGCGCGAGAGCGUGGGGAGCAAACCGGAUUAGAGACCCCAGUAGUCCCUGUCUCUUAUAC